RNAcentral lists this ribosomal RNA (528 nucleotides) under uncultured bacterium. RNAcentral describes it as "bacterial SSU rRNA". It matches the Rfam family "Bacterial small subunit ribosomal RNA", at positions 355 to 899 of the family's 1533-position model. The record is from RNAcentral.
UGGGGAAUCUUGGACAAUGGGGGCAACCCUGAUCCAGCCAUGCCGCGUGGACGAUGAAGGCCCUAGGGUUGUAAAGUCCUUUCACCGGUGAAGAUAAUGACGGUAGCCGGAGAAGAAGCCCCGGCUAACUCCGUGCCAGCAGCCGCGGUAAUACGGAGGGGGUUAGCGUUGUUCGGAAUUACUGGGCGUAAAGCGCACGUAGGCGGACCAGAAAGUUGGGGGUGAAAUCCCGGGGGCUCAACCCCGGAACUGCCUCCAAAACUAUUGGUCUAGAGUUCGAGAGAGGUGAGUGGAAUUCCAAGUGUAGAGGUGAAAUUCGUAGAUAUUUGGAGGAACACCAGUGGCGAAGGCGGCUCACUGGCUCGAUACUGACGCUGAGGUGCGAAAGUGUGGGGAGCAAACAGGAUUAGAUACCCUGGUAGUCCACACCGUAAAACGAUGAAUGCCAGUCGUCGGGUAGCAUGCUAUUCGGUGACACACCUAACGGAUUAAGCAUUCCGCCUGGGGAGUACGGUCGCAAGAUUAAAA